Molecule: long non-coding RNA, 720 nt
Organism: Corvus hawaiiensis (hawaiian crow)
Lineage: Eukaryota; Metazoa; Chordata; Aves; Passeriformes; Corvidae
Exons: 3
Source: RefSeq, a predicted model, not a curated record
GGGAGCUGCUCAUAUGCUGAGUCUCUGGGUCCUUCUCCAACCAGCUGGAAAUUCUGCAGGGCAAACAUCAAAGGAUUUCCAAGUCUGAAUCCUUAAUUGAUAAGCAUGGAAAUCUUGUCCAGGAGCCUGAGUGUUGAAACUCAUGACCUGAGAAUGGAAUUACUUACUUUGAAUCUGGCCUCCUGUCUGGUGUAACUGGAUGACCUUCCCUUGUAUUCCUUGUCAGUCAUGGUCAGACCUUGGGGUGAAAGAUGAGCACGUCCUUUAGCUCUGAGAGUCGAGUUGUUUCCGAAUGGACCAAGAUCUGCUGUAACCUGCAGUUCUCAGGAAGGGUGUGCAUGCUGGUAACCACCAAUGAGCAAAAUGCAAAGAGUUUCACACACCAAUCUGUGAAGAUUUACCUGUUUUUCUCUCUUGGGAUAUUGACCAUUCAUUCAUUCCCUGAGAAGAAAAUCCUGUUUAAAGAAGGACUGUGGCCAAGACCCAGUCCAGGACCUUGGAGCUAAGACUGUUCAGGGAAGGAACUGUGGCCUUGGCAACAAAACCUUGUACAGAAGAACUAACUUGAGCUAAAUUUCCUAGCAACAGAGUAAUUUAUUUUCCUCCAUAGAAAGAACAAAUAACACUGAUGGACCAUUUGUCUUAAGCCAAAAAAAGGUAAAGCAUAUCUGACUUUUAUGUCAUUUGCCAUACCCACAGGAGCUGCUUUGCUUCAUUGCU